UGGAUUGCCCUCAAGAGGCUUGAUCUCAAUGCAGAUAACAGGAUCAUAGCUCUCCGGGAGGUUCACAUUCCAAGUGGAGCCCGAGUAACCAGCAUAAGACAAAUACUAGCUCAUUCUUUCAGGCUUGACACUUCUCAGACAAUACUUAAGAUAUGAAACAAUCGAGGAUGCCUAAUUCCAUUACAUUCCUGCAUGCCACCAAACAGCAAGCACAUG
Sinocyclocheilus anshuiensis is the source of this 216-nucleotide long non-coding RNA. RefSeq lists it as uncharacterized. The transcript has 4 exons. The record is from RefSeq and is a predicted model, not a curated record. NCBI's taxonomy places the organism in Eukaryota, Metazoa, Chordata, Actinopteri, Cypriniformes, Cyprinidae.